UGCCUUAUUAGAAUCUCUGUUUCUGGUUUUGCUAUCCUGUUUGCUACUUUUCUCAGGCAAAUGACCCCUUUGUGGUGACAAAAAUGUUCUGCAGCAACUCUAGCAUACCUUCUGCCAUUAACUACCCACCCGGAAGGGAGCCUCCCCUUCCCACGAAUGGCAGUCGAGGCCUCAAAGCCCACUCUCCGUGGUCCCGUCCAGUUCCAGACCCACGUCUGGGCGGGCUCGGUGAGCGGCGGUACCUCCAGUAGUCAGGGAGUCAGGGUUCUGUCACCUCACGGAAGAAUACUGUUGGUCACGCAGUCGUGUCCGGCUCACGGAAGAAUACUGUUAGGCACGCAGUCGUGUCUGGCUUUUGCAACCCCAUUCACUGAAGCCCAUUCCCUUCUCCAGGGGAUCUUACGACCCAGGGAUCGAGCUGGGUCUCCUGCGUUGCGGGCGGAUUCUUUCCCGUCUGAGCCACCAGGGAAGUCUCGACAGAAGGAGCCUGUGAAAGGACAGCGAGCGCGCUUCAAAAUACAUUUUAGCGUCUACAGAGCAAAUCCUCUUCUUCCUCCUCAAGAAUUUACUUUUUACAAAAUCAGUUAUUCGGAUGAAAAAUAAAUGCACAUGACUCAAACAACCAAAAAAGUUUUUAAAAGUAUAUGGUCUAAAGAAAACGGCAGCCUCCAAAGGGCUCCCACCAGCGAGAACUGCCCAGAGCUGCUGCUGCCCGCAUCUGUCCACGCGGCGAGCCCCAGCUGCGCCUCCCCACCCAGCCUCUGCAGGAGACCCCCCGGUAUCAGGGGGUGAUACAACCGUGAUUCCACUGAACGGGGAGUUAGAGCUGCCACUCAAGCGCUUCAGAUUCGGGGCUUUCCUGGUGGCUCAGUGAGUAAGAAUCCACCUGCCGAUGCAGGGGGCACAAGCUCCAGCCCGAUCCGAGAAGAUCCCACACGCCACACAGCAACUGCACCCCUGUACCGGCCACCGCAGCUGCAAUCUAGGCCCCGGGAGCCGAAACCAUGGAGCCCGCCCGCUCUAGAGCCUGUGCUGUGCUGUAAGAGACGCCGCCGCAGUGAGAGGCCCGUGUACCCCAGCUAGAGAGUAGCCCUGCUCACCCAGCUAGAGAAAGCCGGCUCGCAGCAGGGAGGACCCAGUACGGCCAAAAAUAAACGAAUAAAUAUUAAAUUAUUUAAAAAAUCA
This 1185-nucleotide long non-coding RNA is filed under the name Bos indicus x Bos taurus (hybrid cattle). Its description in RNAcentral is "lncRNA (ENSBIXG00000019548.1)". Lineage: Eukaryota; Metazoa; Chordata; Mammalia; Artiodactyla; Bovidae. The record is from RNAcentral.